RNAcentral lists this ribosomal RNA (450 nucleotides) under uncultured bacterium. RNAcentral describes it as "partial 16S ribosomal RNA". It matches the Rfam family "Bacterial small subunit ribosomal RNA", at positions 354 to 796 of the family's 1533-position model. The record is from RNAcentral.
GUGGGGAAUAUUGGACAAUGGGCGAAAGCCUGAUCCAGCCAUGCCGCGUGUGUGAAGAAGGUCUUCGGAUUGUAAAGCACUUUAAGUUGGGAGGAAGGGCAGUAAGUUAAUACCUUGCUGUUUUGACGUUACCGACAGAAUAAGCACCGGCUAACUUCGUGCCAGCAGCCGCGGUAAUACGAAGGGUGCAAGCGUUAAUCGGAAUUAUUGGGCGUAAAGCGCGCGUAGGUGGUUCAGUAAGUUGGAAGUGAAAUCCCCGGGCUCAACCUGGGAACUGCUUUCAAAACUGCUGAGCUAGAGUACGGUAGAGGGUGGUGGAAUUUCCUGUGUAGCGGUGAAAUGCGUAGAUAUAGGAAGGAACACCAGUGGCGAAGGCGACCACCUGGACUGAUACUGACACUGAGGUGCGAAAGCGUGGGGAGCAAACAGGAUUAGAAACCCUGGUAGUCC